UAAGGAAUAUUGGUCAAUGGACGCAAGUCUGAACCAGCCAUGCCGCGUGAAGGAUGAAGGUCCUCUGGAUUGUAAACUUCUUUUAUCUGGGACGAAAACGGGAUUUUUAUCUCAAUUGACGGUACCAGAGGAAUAAGCACCGGCUAACUCCGUGCCAGCAGCCGCGGUAAUACGGAGGGUGCGAGCGUUAUCCGGAUUUACUGGGUUUAAAGGGUGCGUAGGUGGGCUUAUAAGUCAGUGGUGAAAUCUCCGAGCUUAACUUGGAAACUGCCGUUGAUACUAUUUGUCUUGAAUAUUGUGGAGGUAAGCGGAAUAUGUCAUGUAGCGGUGAAAUGCUUAGAUAUGACAUAGAACACCAAUUGCGAAGGCAGCUCGCUACACGGUUAUUGACGCUGAGGCACGAAAGCGUGGGGAUCAAACA
RNAcentral lists this ribosomal RNA (421 nucleotides) under uncultured bacterium. RNAcentral describes it as "bacterial SSU rRNA". It matches the Rfam family "Bacterial small subunit ribosomal RNA", at positions 355 to 774 of the family's 1533-position model. The record is from RNAcentral.